This 1595-nucleotide long non-coding RNA is filed under the name Solanum tuberosum (potato). Its description in RNAcentral is "long non-coding RNA (STUB_LNC002151)". The record is from RNAcentral. Lineage: Eukaryota; Viridiplantae; Streptophyta; Magnoliopsida; Solanales; Solanaceae.
UGAAAAAGAAAGAUAAGGAAGGAAAAAAAAUUCGAAGAAGCAAAUGUUUAAAAUAAACAACAAAAUAAAAAAUUGCCGUCUUUGUCAUGGCGUGAAUCUGAACACGGUUACUCUAUCGGAUUCAACUAUUAGAAUCGCCAAUUACCAAGCCCUAAAAAGUUUCACUCUUUGGCACUUCAUGUAAAAUGACUAUAUAUUCUAUAUUUCUCCAUUGAUUAUAAUAGUCAUGGUACCAUCACAUUUUACGUAUAUUCAUUACAUUAACAUGUAUAACUCGAUAAAUAAUUUAAAGCUCCAACCAUAUCUUCAUAUUUUCCUGCUUAUAAAUAGGGAGUUAAAAAGUCAUAAACAUAACACAAUAUGGUAGGAAGAAUGAGAGAGAGCUCAGCUUCAGCAAAUGGUUCAUUUACUAGUGCCAUGACACUUAUUGAAGAGGGACUAACCUAUGUUCCCAAGCGUUACGUCCUUCCACCAUCCCUACGCCCCGAUGGAACCCUGUGUAACACAUGCUUGCCAAUUGUGGAUCUAUCCAAUCGGCAACACCCUCUUCUUCGGUCUCAGAUAAUCCAGGAUGUACACCUGGCUUGCAAGAAAUUUGGUUUCUUCCAGGUACUACUUGUCGUGAAGUGUCCAUGAUACCUGCAAUCACGCACUAGCUAGAAUAAGCUAUUUAUUUAUUUCUUCAGUAUACAUAAAGUUCCUAGAGAUAGGGAUCCAAAUAAGAAGAAUAUGCAUGCACCAAGUAACGAAAAAGAUGUCGUCAGAUCGGCAUAUAGAAAGUACUACAUGGUGCAUUAGAGUUCUAAGCUUCAUAUCCCUUUGUCUCAACUCUUCCUUUUUAUUUUCAGUUGAUCUGUUAAAACAGACAUCCUAGAUUUUGAGAUACUUAGGUUGUCUAACAGGAAGAGAAAUAAGACAAUCUUCACAGAUUCACCCUGAACGUAAAAUAACAACAUGCAUGCAAUAAAUGACUUUGCAGGUAGUUAACCAUGGUAUCCCAUUGUCAGUCAUGGACAACGCCAUACAUGCUGCGAGUGAAUUCUUUGAUUUACCAACUCAAGAUAAAAGGCAUCUUUUGACUUCGAAUGUUUGUGACCCCGUAAGAUAUGGUACCAGUCUAAACCAUGUCAAAGACAAAGUACACUUUUGGAGAGACUUCCUCAAGCACUAUGCUAAUCCAACCUCAACUUGGAUUGACUUGUGGCCAUCAAAUCCCAAAUGUUACAAGUAAGUCUUUCAUUGUCGUUGUUGAAUGUGUUUAGCACAUAUGUUUGUUUUAUAGAUGCAUAUUCUUACUGUCCAAGAAAGAUAUAAUUUCUUCAAGAUCCUAAAGAAGUUAUUCAUGCAGGAAGAAAAUGGUAAACUACACUAUGGCAGCACAAAAGUUGCAAGAAGGACUCAUGGAAGUGAUAUUUGAGAGCUUAGGACUAAACACUAAUUACUUACAUGAAGACAUUGCGGAAGGCUCCCAGGUCAUGGCAGUUAAUUGCUAUCCAGCAUGUCCUGAGCCAGAUCUUACACUAGGAUUGCCACCACACACAGAUUAUGGUAUGAUAUCCAUCAUUCUACAAAAUCACCAGGGCUUGCAAAUCAUG